This 272-nucleotide signal recognition particle RNA is filed under the name Candidatus Woesearchaeota archaeon. Its description in RNAcentral is "signal recognition particle sRNA". It matches the Rfam family "Archaeal signal recognition particle RNA". The record is from RNAcentral. Lineage: Archaea; Nanobdellati; Candidatus Woesearchaeota.
GGGCAGGCUAGACCGGGUGGUUAGCCCUCACCUGUAACUGCAAACGGGCUUUAUGGCAGGGUCGAAGCUGAACUGAGGUUUGAUUCCUGUUUUGGGGUCCCUGUUCGGACGAUGAGACCCUGUCCUGCAGGGUGGUUCUAUAAAGGAACCGAGUCAGGUCAGGGAUGAAGCAGCUCUAACUUUUUAGAACCACGCUUGUGGGGUUGCGGGGUUGAGAAAGUUCAGGGGGUGCCUCACUACAGGUGUCAAGCCGAUGUGAGGCGUGCCUGCCC